This is a small nuclear RNA of Hippopotamus amphibius kiboko, 107 nucleotides long. NCBI's taxonomy places the organism in Eukaryota, Metazoa, Chordata, Mammalia, Artiodactyla, Hippopotamidae. The record is from RefSeq and is a predicted model, not a curated record.
GUGCUAACUUUAGCAGUGCAUAUUCUAAAACUGGAACAUUACAUAGUAGAUGAGUGUGGCCUCUGUGCAAGGAUGACAUGCGAAUUCAUGAAGUGUUCCAUAUUUUU